UUUAUGGAGAGUUUGAUCCUGGCUCAGGAUGAACGCUGGCGGCGUGCCUAAUACAUGCAAGUCGAGCGAACGGACGAGAAGCUUGCUUCUCUGAUGUUAGCGGCGGACGGGUGAGUAACACGUGGAUAACCUACCUAUAAGACUGGGAUAACUUCGGGAAACCGGAGCUAAUACCGGAUAAUAUUUUGAACCGCAUGGUUCAAAAGUGAAAGACGGUCUUGCUGUCACUUAUAGAUGGAUCCGCGCUGCAUUAGCUA
This 257-nucleotide ribosomal RNA is filed under the name Staphylococcus aureus. Its description in RNAcentral is "partial 16S ribosomal RNA". It matches the Rfam family "Bacterial small subunit ribosomal RNA", at positions 1 to 247 of the family's 1533-position model. Lineage: Bacteria; Bacillati; Bacillota; Bacilli; Caryophanales; Staphylococcaceae. The record is from RNAcentral.